Molecule: ribosomal RNA, 426 nt
Filed under: uncultured bacterium
Lineage: Bacteria
Description: partial 16S ribosomal RNA
Rfam family: Bacterial small subunit ribosomal RNA
Source: RNAcentral
GUGAGGAAUUUUCCGCAAUGGGCGAAAGCCUGACGGAGCAAUGCCGCGUGAAGGAUGAAGGCCUAUGGGUUGUAAACUUCUUUUCUCAGAAAAGAAUUAUGACGGUAUCUGAGGAAUAAGCAUCGGCUAACUCUGUACCAGCAGCCGCGGUAAGACAGAGGAUGCAAGCGUUAUCCGGAAUGAUUGGGCGUAAAGCGUCUGUAGGUUGUUUAAAAAGUAUUCUGUCAAAGAUUAGGGCUUAACCCUAGAUAGGCAGAAUAAACUUUUAAGCUAGAGUUUGGUAGAGGCAGAGGGAAUUCCCGGUGGAGCGGUGAAAUGCGUAGAUAUCGGGAGGAACACCAAAGGCGAAGGCACUCUGCUGGGCCAAUACUAACACUGAGAGACGAAAGCGAGGGGAGCAAAUGGGAUUAGAAACCCCAGUAGUCC